UAUGCAAAUACAACGAUGCACGAGAUUGAUUUGUUUCGAGAUUCGGCCAUUUGCUUGUAUCCCACCAACUUCGCAAUUCUAGAAAAUGUUGGAUCUCCAUUAAAAGAUGCUUUUACGAAGAUGCAUCAAGCCUUCACUCCAGCAUGUUCUCGAGAAGAUGUUAUCAUUAUGAUCUUUUUCUCAAGAAGAUGUUAUAAUUAUGAUCUUUUUCUCUCUUUUACAGAAUUUAUCUCACUACAAACUUUACACAAGUUAGAGAAAUAUUAGAGAGUUAAGAGCAUAGUUAGUUAAUUUGGAUUCGGCAAAAAUUCGGUACGAGUAUAAUACUCAUAAAAUUCGUUUUCUAAUUUUUAAAUUAGUUGAAAAGUUCGGCUUCAAAAAGGGAUUCAGUAUAAAAUAUAAAAUAUAAGAUAAUAUACAUUUAAAUAUAAAAAUUAUAAGUUUUUUAUUCAGAUUUUUAAUAAUUCGAAAUUAAUUUGUGAAUUAUUCGCGAAUUAUUUGGCUGGCCCAAAAAUUCGCGAAUAAGUCAUUUUCUUAGAAAAAAAUUCGUAGAAGAACCGUUUAAUUCGGUUUUUGAAUAAUUCGCGAAUUAACUAACACAGGUUAAGAGUACAAUAAUAUUACACAAAUUUCAAGCCGCUAUGCAAACACCAUUUGAAACACCAAAUCCCUCUAUUUAUAGCCAAAAUCUAAAAUCUGUCCGUCACUGUGAUUAUGCUAUUUUGGGGGCUCGAAACUACUUUCGGAUGCUGGCUUCUGUAAUUACUUUGCGCUAACAGCUACAUCGACCAUCCAAUGCAGUUUCGGAUGCGCAGAACAACUUUCGAACAUUCGAAUUCACUGAUCAUGAUCGAACAGUUUAGAGUAGAAGACGCAAC
Molecule: long non-coding RNA, 878 nt
Filed under: Ananas comosus (pineapple)
Lineage: Eukaryota; Viridiplantae; Streptophyta; Magnoliopsida; Poales; Bromeliaceae
Description: long non-coding RNA (ACOM_LNC005841)
Source: RNAcentral